GAUUAACGCUGGCGGCGUGCAUAACACAUGCGAGUCGAACGAUGAAGAUUAUUAGACUUCUUCGGAAUGAAAAUAAUUGGAUUAGUGGCGGACGGGUGAGUAACGCGUGAGUAACCUGCCUUACACAAGGGGAUAGCCGUUGGAAGCGACGAAUAAUACCCUAUGAAACUAUCACUUCGCAUGAAGCGAUAGUCAAAGUGUUAGCGGUGUAAGAUGGACUUGCGUCUGAUUAGCUAGUUGGUGAGAAAAAAGCCCACCAAGGCAACGAUCAGUAGCCGGCUUGAGAGAGUGUACGGCCACAUUGGGACUGAGACACGGCCCAGACUCCUACGGGAGGCAGCAGUGGGGAAUUUUGCACAAUGGGGGAAACCCUGAUGCAGCGACGCCGCGUGAUUUAGAAGGCCUUCGGGUUGUAAAAAUCUUUUGUAUAGGAAGAAAAUGACAGUACUAUACGAAUAAGGUCCGGCUAAUUACGUG
RNAcentral lists this ribosomal RNA (477 nucleotides) under uncultured bacterium. Its description in RNAcentral is "partial 16S ribosomal RNA". It matches the Rfam family "Bacterial small subunit ribosomal RNA", at positions 28 to 507 of the family's 1533-position model. The record is from RNAcentral.